Molecule: non-coding RNA, 594 nt
Organism: Meriones unguiculatus (Mongolian gerbil)
Lineage: Eukaryota; Metazoa; Chordata; Mammalia; Rodentia; Muridae
Source: the annotation of a RefSeq genome assembly
AUGCUCUGGAUCCUCACCUCCUUCCUGGGGAUACAGUUUUUCCUGGCUGUCCAGACACAGUCAGUUACCCAGUCUGAUGCCCAAGUCACUGUCUUUGAAGGAGAGUCGGCGGAGCUGAAAUGCAACUACUCGUAUGUUGGAGCCCCUUACCUCUUCUGGUACAUCCAGCACCGUGGCCACGGCCCCCAGCUUCUCCUCAGGUACUACUCAGGAGACUCAGUGGUUCACGGCAUGAACGGUUUUGAGGCUGAGUUUAGCAAGAAGGACUCUUCCUUCAACCUGAGGAAGGCCCCUGUGCACUGGAGAGACUCAGCUGUGUACUUCUGUGCAUUAUCUGACAACAAAGAUUACAAACUUUGCUUCCCUAGUUUGUAUUUUGCAUUUUUUCCUGGAGAAGGUCCACAGCUCCUCUUUAGAGUCUCAAAGGCUAAUGACAAGGGAAGCAGCAGAGGGUUUGAAGCCACACAUGAUGAGGAAACCAAAUCCUUCCACUUGCAGAAAGCCUCAGUGCAAGAGUCCGACUCGGCUGUGUACUACUGUGCUCUGAGUGACACAGUGACAGAAACCGCAGGGGGAGCUGAGCACAGACUCUGA